Molecule: non-coding RNA, 117 nt
Filed under: Nomascus leucogenys (northern white-cheeked gibbon)
Lineage: Eukaryota; Metazoa; Chordata; Mammalia; Primates; Hylobatidae
Source: Rfam by way of RNAcentral
GCCGGGCGCGGUGGCUCAUGCCUGUAAUCCCAGCACUUUGGGAGGCCAAGGCGGGUGAAUCACCUGAGGCCAGGAGUUCAAGACCAGCCUGGCCAACAUGGUGAAACCCCGUCUUUA